CACAAUUUGGGGGGGAAGUGAUUUGGGGGGGGCGUCCCCAAACACUUUGUGUAACGUCUGGGGAGGGCUGUAACCCCUACGGUGUUUAUGGGGGGGGGCCAUGACCCUCUGCCCCCCCCCCAGUUAUGCUGUGUCCCCCCCCCCAGGGUGGCGAAGCAGAGCCGGGGGGCCCCCCACUGGCUGCGGAGGGACCUGCGGGUGCGCUGCGUGGACAAAGCCUUCCAGGGGGGGCGCUUCUACAACUGCAAGAUGGUGGUGGAGGACCUGCUCUCCCCCGACACCUGCGUUUGCCGGACGGACGAGGGGCGCCUGGUGGACGGCCUGCAGGAGGCCAUGCUGGAGACCGUCAUUCCCCGGGGCGACGCCGACCGCGUCAUGGUGGUGCUGGGCGAGCAUGCUGGCAAGGUGGGCCAGAUUCUGGAGCGGGACCCAUCGAGGAGCCGGGCGCUGGUGCAGCUGCAGCGCGAGGCGGGCUCGAGGGUGCUGGCGCUGGAUUACGACGCCAUCUGCCAUUUUCUGGGGGGGCACGAAGACGAUUGAGACCCCCCCCCCCCCCGGGAAAAACAAGGGCACCCACCAGCUUCCAACAUGGCCGCCUCAGCUUCAGGGGGAAUAAACAGCGCCAAAACAAGUUGCUGAUGUCCUCGGCUUUGCGGGGACGGCCCCGUUUGGGAACCCAGGCGUCUUGGUGAGGCCCCCCCCGGCAAAAAAAACCUCGCUGGAGCCCCCCCGCGCCGGCUGCAGGCAUAGCUGCGCGUUUGCCAGCUUCCAAGAUGGCGGAGAGGGCGGCUGCUGGAGCUGCCAGCUUCCAACAUGGCGCGUUGCUAGGGGC
RNAcentral lists this long non-coding RNA (832 nucleotides) under Anser brachyrhynchus (Pink-footed goose). Its description in RNAcentral is "lncRNA (ENSABRG00000017935.1)". The record is from RNAcentral. Lineage: Eukaryota; Metazoa; Chordata; Aves; Anseriformes; Anatidae.